CGAAAGGAAAUGAGACCGGGACGCUCCGUGCUUCUCGGCCCGCCGCCCUUCCUGUCUCGGGGACACGGUUUCUAAAUAAGUAUUCAUCAGUCAAGCCAUUUAACAAAUCUUCAGUGAUGGGUUAUUGUGUACUUGUCACUCCCAUGGAAGGAGGUAUGCGGACAUAUAAAAGGUGGUCCCUGCUUUCAAGGAGCUUGCGGUCGCAUUGGAGGAGAUUAAGACAUGAGACCAAGCAUGGAACAGGAGGAAAGUGAUUAAGAACCCGAAAUCUAAAGUCAGACUGCCUGAAUUCAAAUACCAGCUCUAUCACCCACCAGCUCUACAAUGUGGAGCCAGUUACUUAAACUCCAAGCACCUCAAUCUUCUCAUCUGCAAAAUGGGAGCACUGAUGUACACAUACCUCAAACGGUUGUGAUGAUUAAAUUAGUUAAUAUAUGUAAAGCACUUAGAACUGUUCUUAGAAGCUUACAGUAAGUGCUGUGUAAGUAUGGGCUGUUAAUAUUUAAUCAUCGUAGAUUUAUAUUGUUUUAAAAUCUGAUAGAGCUAAGCCCUAUUUUCCUACUUUUAAAAUUUGCUUAUUUUUCAAAAAUUUCUUGGGUAGUUUCACCUACUUGUUUUUCAGGAUGAAAUUUCAGUUAUGCUUCUAAAAGGAUUUCUCAUGAGAAUGUUUUUGGCCUUGCCCCAUCUACUUUUAUGCCGGCUCUACAAGGCUGUUUAGCAUCAUGAAAGGCAAGAAGUAAAGCAUCAGAUACACCUGGGUUUGUAUGCUUCUCAGUUCGGCCACUUUGUGGCUGUCCGACCAUGGUCAAGACUUCCCUGAGAUUUACUUUCUUUAUCUCUAAAAUAAAGUAAGAGUGGUAAUAACAGAACCUGCCAUAACCCAAAUCUUGAUCAACUGCUACAUGGAUAAACAAAAUGUGAUACAUCCAUACAAUGGAACAUUAUUUGGUCAUAAAAAGGAAUCAAGUAUGAUAUAUGCUACAUCGUGGAUGACCCUGGAAAACAUCAUGCUAAGUGAAAGAAGCCAGUCUCCAAAGACCACAUAUUUUAUGAUUCCAUUUAUAUGAAAUUUACAGAAUAGGCAAAUCUAUAGAGACAGAAAGUAGAUUCAUGUUUGCUUAGAGCUUGAGAAGAUGGGGAAACUGGAUGGUGAUAACUAAAGGAUACCAGGUUUCUCGUUAAAUCUCAUACGAUUUGAACUGAUUGAUGGUACCAAGAUUGUAUGCCUACACCCUUGUUGCAAGGGAGACUGACUACUACAUUGGAAAAUUUACCAUUUAAAUAUGAGAAUUUCCGCUAACAUAGAAAGGGCAUUCAAAAGACAAUGAGCAGUCUUGAUUAUAAUCCUAUGCCUACUAUAAGAAUAGAGAUCGACUCUCAGAAAACCCAAAAUCUAAGAGAUGCACCAAGGAAGAGGAUCCAGAGAAGAAUAUAGAGAAGGAAGGAUGAUAUAGAUGAAAAGAAAAUACACAAAGAAAAAUAAUGGAAGGAAAUGGAUUAAAGAAUUUCCAGAAGGAGGGAGUAGUGAUCAAAAGUGUUAGUAUUAUACAGAAGUCAAAUCAAAUAAAGGCUGAGAAUUACCCAUUGGCUUUAGCCACUAGCAGGUCAUCCAUAUCUUUAGUAAGAGAAGUUUAACUAAUUUGAUGAGGAGGAAUCCUAAUUUCAGUGGACUGAAAAGGAAAUAGAAGAUGAUGAUAUAAAGACAUAUACUUUCUCAAGACUUGAGGAUCUAGUUACAACAUGUGGAUGUUGUAAUAAAUAUCGUAUUUAAUCCUUGUAAGGCCUUGUGAAUUAGGGACUGUUAUUACCCCUAUAUUACAGAUGCAAGGAGGCUUUGAGACCCAAGGUUAUGUGAGGGGCAGAUCUGGGUCUUACAGUCAGACUUGUCUGACAUUAGAGUCAGAAAGAACUCUUAGGCACCAGAUCACACUGCAAACAUUUUAUAGGGCAAUUGUUUUAGGGCAAGUCCCAAAAUCACAGAUUCUCAAAAUAAGAAGGAAUUUGAACUCUGAUUCACUUCUUGGUUCCACUUCAGUGUUUCUUUCUCAGAUCCUUAAAGGCAGAAUAUGUCUCUACCACAUCCUCCCAUCAUGCUGUUUAUUCCUCUGUUACAUUUGUUUUUGAUCAUCUCUCCUUCUUCUGUUAAUAGAAGUCUAUUAUCUUUAUCUCUGAAGAAUCACCCAUUCUCUCAACCUUGGUCCACUUGCUUUGGCAAGUGCUGACUCCAUUCAUGUCUCUAGGGCUGGACAAGUCACUCAGUCUUGACUGUUAGAACAUAGCAUCCCUCUGAUCACUGUGAUAAAUUUAGGAAUAAGCUUGUGAACAAAUUCAAGUCACUGAAAAUUGCAUCCAAGACUUACAUCAUACUGUUGUGGAAGAAAAGUCCUAUUUUCUGUUGACUUGAAUCUUGGAGGAUAUAGACCUGGAGCUGUGGGAAGCCAUCUUCCCUUCACAUAGAAUCUGGGAGUGAAGCCUAAGGUUGGGAGAGCAGAUCCAGAAGGUGGAGAGAGUUGGGGUCCCAGUGAGCCCUUGGAUGAAGCCCCUUUUACGGCCAGCACCCCUGUACUUUUCUUUACAUGAGCUAAUAAUUUUUGUUUGUUUAAGUCAAUUUGAAUGGGAGGAUCUCCAAUUCGAUACCAAGAAAGACCUAAUGCAUAGCUUAUGACUGCCUGCAUGGUAUUUUCUCCCCCAGUAGAAUGUUAGCCAUAGAGUGCCCUAAUCCUCCCUUUUUUCUCUUUGUGCUCCACCCCCACCAAUGUCUAGGAUGAUGCAUUAUGUGUAGCAAGUGCUCAGUAAAUACCUGAUGGGCUCAGUAGAAUUGAGUGUAGACUGUUUCUGCAACAUUCCCUAAAAGUUGCUUCAGAAAAGCUUCCUGUCUAUAAGCUUGCUGACUGUCACUUUUGUCUCUUAAUCACAAGAAUAAUCUGCAGAAGAAGUCCCAAAUAUUUGAUCUUUCUGUUUGUUUGAAUUCACAUGAAACUAGAAUUUAGUGUAAACAUAUACUUGGCAUGUUCACUACAUGCUCCAACAAAACAGCUUGAAAGAUGCAGAGUGAAUUGUUCUAUCAGUGGCUCAAUAGACUAAAAUGUUCACUUUCUGUCCUUUGUGAAAAACUGGUUUUUCUCUGGCGCUUGAUUCCUUUCACACAAAGAGGCUGACAUCCUCUCAGGAUAAAAAAGGGGUAGAGAGUUAAGAUGUUUUUCUGUUAUUACUGUGAAAACUUGGCAGCAAUUCUUUACCAAAAUGGCCAUGAGCUGUUGCUGUUCUGUAGUUUAGGAGCAUUGCCCUUCUAGGUUCAUUAAACGAGAAGGAUACAGACAGAAGGAAAUACUUUCAGCACACAUUGAGGAGCGCUGCUAAAUGACGUGUCAUAGCUAUGGACUGCUGGAAAAUUCUGAUUUACUCGUAUUAAUAACUGCUGAGAUUGUUGUUUCACACUGAUAUAGGUAAGGAGACUCUUCUACCCUAUCUUUAUAACAAAAAACAUUGGAAGAAUUAUAGUGAGUUGAUCAUAUUAAUAUUCUAAUUCAUCAUAGCACUCCCAGGACACAGCAUGUUGUUGUAGGCCUCUUUGCCUUUGAAAAUGCCAGUCACUUUGCCUAGAAAACCCCUACGCAUCCUUUAAGAAUCUACUUAUGUGUCACAUCUGUGAAGCCCUCAGUCACUUCUUCAAAGGAUUAAUUCCUCCA
Molecule: long non-coding RNA, 3689 nt
Organism: Equus quagga
Lineage: Eukaryota; Metazoa; Chordata; Mammalia; Perissodactyla; Equidae
Exons: 3
Source: RefSeq, a predicted model, not a curated record